Gorilla gorilla gorilla (western lowland gorilla) is the source of this 4676-nucleotide long non-coding RNA. RefSeq lists it as uncharacterized. The transcript is spliced from 4 exons. Lineage: Eukaryota; Metazoa; Chordata; Mammalia; Primates; Hominidae. The record is from RefSeq and is a predicted model, not a curated record.
CAGCUUCCGGCCGUCAGAUUAGUCGUCAGUGCGCAGACACCGCCCUUCGUGGACACGCCCUCUAGGCGUAACGUCCCACGCGAGCGGUAAGAGUGCGGCGGGACUUGGAAAUCGAAUCUGUGCUCUGUGAGAGAUCCUAAGAAAGGAAACUGGGAGCCCGGGAGAACUAGAAUUCCCAAUUAAAAGUGAAUUUAAAUCUGAGCUGUUCUUAGACCCAGAAUUUCUUGCCUGAAGGAGGAGUCAGGUCCCCACAAGGAAAGACCCUGCAACUGUAUAAAAAAAGAAUCUAAAAAGAUCAUGACUCCUUCAGUCCUUUCCCAAAGAGACCUAUGGAAAUUUCCUCAGGGGUUAAGCUUGCAUUGCAGUCUCAUGGCUCUCCCAGCCUCCUCUAGCCCUCUCCCCAUUUCUUGCACCCAGGCAUUUUCCUCAACACACCUCUUGCACAGCUAAUCCCAUCUUGGUGUCUGCUUCUCAGAGGAUCAUAACUGACACAAGUAGGAAGAGGAAGUCUGAUACAUGGACAGUCAAGUUGAUAGUGCAUGGGUGCAAGUAAAAAAUGAAGUGGGCUGGGCGCGGUUGCUCACGCUUGUAAUCCCAGCACUUUGGGAGGCCAAGGUGGGUGGAUCACCUGAGGUCAGGAGUUCGAGACCAGCCUGGCCAAUAUGGUGAAAUCCCAUCUCUACUAAAAAUACAAAAAAUCAGCUGGGCAUGGUGGCAGGCACCUGUAAUGCCAGCUACUUGGGAGGCUGAGGCAGGAGAAUUGCUUGAACCCAGGAGGCAGAGGUUGUAGUGAGCUAAUAUCGCACCACUGCACUCUAGCCUGGGCGACAGAGGGAGACUCCAUCUCAAAAAAGAAAAAAAAAAGUGAAGUGGUGCUGCAUUAUGGACUCACUCGGGUGACCGAAAGAGAGCAGAGAGGGAAAUCGUCCCAAAUAGGCAGAGCUUCAGUGUUGCAUCUCAUCAUACACCUUGGGUGGAAAAGGUGUUUCCAGUGUUAGAAUAUGCAGGAAUUCAUGGAGAGUGGCAAGUGACAUGACUGGAAAACCCCUCAAGAACCUGGAAGAAGAAAUCUUGACAGAUUGGAGACAAAGAGAUUGGAGAAAGGGGGAUGUGAAUGGAACUAUGAGAGUGGGCAGAAAGUGUGAAGAUCUUUGUAUCAUUUAUUAAUGCCUAACCAGGAGCACCCACAACAGAAUAGACAUUAAACAGCUGCAUAAACAAAUGACUCAGCCAGUUGAUGUCAGUCAGCCUGUGUCAACAGCCACCCCAAUGCUGGCACAAAGGGCACUAGAACAGAAUAGCCUGAUGGCAGAGAUGAAGUGUGCAUGGCUCCAGCAGCACGGACUCCUCUCAUUAAGGCUGAUCUAGCUACUGUUGCUGCCCCAUGUCUAACUUGCCAGCAACGGAGACCAAAGUUGAGCCCCGGAAUCAGCACCAUUCCUCAAAGAGACCAGCUAGUCACUUGGUGGAAGAGGGACCAAGCAAAAUCCCAGAAGAAUUGAUCUCAAAGCUUAUUUUAUGAAGAAAAUUGACCUGAGUAACACAAAGGGUUGGACUGCAGUAGAUGUCACGUUUUGCUGCCUAGAUCUCCAUCCAGGGAUGAACUCUUAUUUCCUCAGCUUCUUUGUCUCCUCAGCUUCUGGGAGGGUUGGCAGCUGAUAUUCUCAGCUGAGUCCCUUUCUAGGACUUGCCCUUGCCUGAAGAGAGCUGUGCUGCCCAACAUGAUGCCUCCUCCAAGGUACAAUCCACACCCAGUGACUAAUAAACAGGGGUUACAAAGGCAUGCCUGCUUGCCCCAAUUUGGGACAACUUUACCAGGCCAACCCAGCCUCAAGGCUCUCCGCAGGAACAGGUGAGGCCAUAGUUGUGAUUACAUCACAGGUCAGUUUCUCCUCUGCCCAAGCCUUCUUCCUUCAUUCCUCCACAGAUGCUGAUCUUGAGAUUCCUUUCCAGUAAACUUCCUCCAUGCAAUCUUCAUCUCAGAGUCUGUUUCCUGGGGAAACUAACCUGCAACUGAUACAAAUGCCUAUUCUGUGAGAUAAAACACUAAAAGUACAAUGCGAGUGGUAUAAAUAUUCUGCUACAGGAAUACAAAGUCAGGUAUCAUUUUUGACUUAGGUAGUCAGAGAAUGGAGAUAUUCUGAGUUGGACUUCUGAGAUACUAGGAUUCAAUAGGUGAAGGGAAGAUGAGAUGGUAUAAGACUAACGUAGGCAGAAUUUUGCUAAACGAAUUGGAGAUGAAACAUCACAAGUGCAGGUGCACAAGUAGAAAAGUAAAAUCAGAGCUCAAGGAAGGGGAAGUGAUCCAGCUGGGCAGAAAUAUGGGGCCUAUAUAGAGAUAUACCAGGAAAUAAAGCCAGGACGAAUGGCAGGGUAGGACCUGAUUGUUAAGGGUCUUAAAUGCUGGGGUCAAGAUUGCGGCCCUUACUUAAAAGUUGGUUGGGCAUGAUUUUGGGAGUUGUAGCAAAAGAUGUGGCAAACUCAAAGCUUCCUUUUCAUGUAAAGUAUAGAGAAGUGGAGGUUCAUAUCAUUAAAUCACUGUAAUUUCAGUGUGAACUUCUAACAAUUUGAGCUAACCAUGAGAUAGGACACCUUAUCAAGCGAUGAGCUCUCCAUUAUCUAAACAGAUGCUGAAUUUCAAGUCCAUGUAGAAGAAGUCUUGUGUGACUAGAACAUAAUAUGUUUGGGGGGACUUUUCUUCUUUUUUACUGAUAUUUACUAACUUGGAUAUUGUGCUAAGUGCUUUACAGGUAUUCUUAUUUAAUCCUCACAAGGCAGUAUGGUAGAUAAUCUAUUAUAUUGAAAAUAAUGGGCCAGGCACAGUGGCUCACGCCUGUAAUUCCAGCACUUUGGGAGGCCGAGGCGGGUGGAUCACCUGAGGUCAGGAGUUCAAGACCAGCCUGACCAACAUGGUGAAACCCUGUCUUUACUAAAAAUACAAAAAUAAGCGUGGCGUAGUAGCUCACACCUGUAGUGCCAGCUACUCAGAAGGCUGAAGCACGAGAAUCACUUGAACCCACAAGUUGGUGGAGGUUACAGUGAGCCAAAAUCACACCACUGGACUCCAGCCUGGGUAAGAGAGCAUGACUAGGUCUCAAAAGAAAGAAAUAAAGAAAGAAAAUAAUGAACAAAAAACGUUGAGUGGACAGUAUUAAAUUUAAAAAAAAAACCUAAUGUGUAGGAGAAAAGUACAAAAAUUAGUCAACAAGCAGAGAAAGAAAGAAAAUAUAAAGGUAAAAAUGUAUGUUAUCCAAAUGAGACCUCUUAAGAAGAAAAAAUAAAGGAAAUUCAAAAAAUAAGUUAGGAAAUAGUGAGUAAAAUUAUGAAGUUAAAAAUUCACCAAAAAUUUAUUGAUAUGUCCAAGUUCAGCUUGUAGUGAACAGACUCUUCUUAUGCAGAAUUUGAGCAAAGUGCUAACACAACAGAGUUAGGUAAUGGGAUGAGGGUCAGUCAGAUCACUCUAUUUUUGGAAACUGGUUUCAUGACUGCUUCCCCUUACUUAGUCAUAAACAGGCUAUAUAAAAAGCUGUCAGAGUGGAAAGAGGGAGAGGAUUUGUGAAUUUUUUUUUUUAGCAUGUUUUUAUGGUUCUGUAAGUCCCCACCCUCCCAAAGGGAUGAAGUUUUGGGGUGCACUCCCCUUACCUCAGCCUAGUAGGGGGACUUCCAGGAGAUAAUGAGAGAGUUGGAUGUUUCCUCAAAUUUACAGACACAAAGACUGGUGCCUGGCUUCUCCUGAUAAAGCUAAACCUGCAUGUGGCUGGUCUCUAGUUGGCUAGAUAGUAGUAGUUAAAAUGAAAAGAAACACUUAAUGUUAGAUGCCAUCCAAUAGGGCCACCUAAAGGGAUGGAAGGUUCUCAGCAGCAAGAGCCCAGAGGUAGAAGCAAGGCUCUUCGGGGGGAAGGAUGGAGUCGCAAGUGAAAACCUAGACAAAGAAGCAUCUGUCCUGGUCCAGAGGCUUCCCCAAUAAAGAUGUCUCACACAACUCUAAGAAGUUAGAACUCUAGAAAAAGACUAACAAGAAAAAGAGUAAGGUGUGUUUGUGGAAGAGGUGAGGCAGUUGUUUUCCUAUAAAUAAUGUUAAAUUAAACUAAAUUUGGUCUGAGGAUGCCUCGUAACUUGAGUCUCUACAUGACAAACUGCAACCUAACUUAGGAGUAUUUUUUUUUUGUACUAACCAGGUGAGUCUCAGCCAAUCACAGCAGCCAAGCUACAGCCAAUCCCAUGUGGCCAACUGAUCAGCCUAGGCCCAGUAACACAACUGCUCACCUGUAACUACUCAAGCUGCUUCUGGACCUCAUUUCCAUUUGCUGUUUAUAAGUGCUGCCUGCCCACCUUGCUGAGCAGAACUCUCUGAACUUCUUUCGUUUUUGAGGGUUACUUGAUUAGAAAAUUGUUCUUUGUUCAAUUAAAUUUUGCUAAAUAUAAUUCUUUUAAAGAUUUUCUUUUAACAACAAAGAUGGGGAUAUUUGAACAAUACCUUGUUUGGAGGUGACAUUCUAAUUUCUAAAUUGAGGCUAUUUGUAUUUUUAGCAGGACCCAAGGACUGUCACUUAAAAGCAGGCUAAAAAGCCUUGAAAUUUUCUAACUUUCCAUGCGAGAGCAGUGAUAGAUAACCCCACUACGCAAAAUGUCAUGGGGCCAUAGGAGACAAAAAAUAAAGCUGUGUUUCAACUGCG